Molecule: long non-coding RNA, 430 nt
Filed under: Bos indicus x Bos taurus (hybrid cattle)
Lineage: Eukaryota; Metazoa; Chordata; Mammalia; Artiodactyla; Bovidae
Description: lncRNA (ENSBIXG00005016308.1)
Source: RNAcentral
GGAAUUUUUAAAGCUGUCCAUGUGAUUCCACUCUGCAGUCCCAGCUCAGAAUUCUGCUCCAGGAUCUCUGCAGACCUUGGGAAGAAGGGCUGAAGGAAGCCUUGCCCAGCAUUGUGCUCUGGGGGCCAGUGACCGGGCAGCACGUCUGGGGGCUCACCUCCAUCCCCCCUCACCUAACAACACUCUGUGCCGGGGUGCCUGGCCCACAUCUACAAAUGGGUCCACAGAGCAUGCCCCAGGAAACAGCAGUUGCUUCAGCUUGGGUGCUGAGUGAAGAGUCCUGUGAAGCCAACUGGAAGUCUCUCCACAGCCUGGAGCAGAACUGCAGCUCACCCAUCUGCCCUCAUGCACGUGACCAAGAGGUGAGUGUUCAUCAUUCUCAUUUGGAGUUGUUACUGUAGCAAAGCCUGACUGAUACUGAUGGGGUUAA